Molecule: ribosomal RNA, 497 nt
Filed under: uncultured bacterium
Lineage: Bacteria
Description: partial 16S ribosomal RNA
Rfam family: Bacterial small subunit ribosomal RNA
Source: RNAcentral
GAUGAACGCUGGCGGCGUGCCUAAUACAUGCAAGUCGAGCGAACAGAUGAGGAGCUUGCUCCUCUGACGUUAGCGGCGGACGGGUGAGUAACACGUGGAUAACCUACCUAUAAGACUGGGAUAACUACGGGAAACCGGAGCUAAUACCGGAUAAUAUAUUGAACCGCAUGGUUCAAUAGUGAAAGACGGUUUUGCUGUCACUUAUAGAUGGAUCCGCGCUGCAUUAGCUAGUUGGUAAGGUAACGGCUUACCAAGGCAACGAUGCGUAGCCGACCUGAGAGGGUGAUCGGCCCCACGGGAACUGAUACACGGUCCAGGCUCCUACGGGAGGCAGCAGUAGGGAAUCUUCCGCAAUAGGCGAAAACCUGACGGAACAACGCCGCGUGAGUGAUGAAGGUCUUCCGAUCGUAAAACUCUGUUAUUAGGGAAAAACAAAUUUGUAAGUAACUAUGCACGUCUUGACGGUACCUAAUCAGAAAGCCACGGCUAACUACGUG